Molecule: microRNA precursor, 155 nt
Filed under: Gossypium raimondii (Peruvian cotton)
Lineage: Eukaryota; Viridiplantae; Streptophyta; Magnoliopsida; Malvales; Malvaceae
Description: miR8632 stem-loop (gra-MIR8632)
Source: miRBase by way of RNAcentral
GAGGUUGUUUAUAAACCUAAUUUGUUUGGAGUUCCAACUUCUAACUCAUUUUCAGCCUUGUUUCUUUCGAAUAUAGUUGUUUUCUACCUAAACCACGCAAGCAAUUGAAAGAAUUAGGUUGAAAAUGAGCUAGAAGUUGGAACUCUAAAAACCAA